Drosophila ananassae is the source of this 819-nucleotide long non-coding RNA. RefSeq lists it as uncharacterized. The transcript is spliced from 2 exons. NCBI's taxonomy places the organism in Eukaryota, Metazoa, Arthropoda, Insecta, Diptera, Drosophilidae. The record is from RefSeq and is a predicted model, not a curated record.
CAUGUACACAUGUAUGUACAUACGUACAUACGACUAAAAAAAAUUCACAUCACAUUCAAAAACACAAAAGCUGGAACAGAAUUCGAAAACAGAAGUUAAUUUUUUUUGCACUUAAAGCUUGGAAUCAUCUGUUGAAAGCCUGAAACACAAAAUCAAAGUGGCAAUUAUACGAAUACGUAUGUACACUAUUUAUUUUGCGAAAAGUGAUGAUACACAUAUUGAAAUACAUAUAAGACAAUACACAAUUGUACAUUCAUGUUCAUAAUUUACACAUAUGUAUGUAUAUAUAUUUGUACAUAUAUAGAAGUAUGUAAAUAAAACCAGGCUGUUAUAAAUCCAAAGUAGUGUGGAACGUGAAUCCGUGGCGUAAGCUCUCGACCGCUAUUGAUAUUUACUCAUGUUUGAAAAAGAAGCGCGGUAGUGGUUUUCAUAUUCCUUGUUUGAUGUGCACGUCCAAAUGACGUUUUUAGAAAUGCGUACAUAAUCACAGUAGUGUUUGUCGAAGAAAUUUAUCUAUGUACUUAUUACCAGUCACCCAUGAAUCACCCGUGCGUCCCCCUGAUCACCCGUGAAUCAGCCCUGAAAUCUAGAACCAGCUGCCAUGAAUUAUGUAAUGAAUAAUUUGAAAAUGUCCUCUCGGCCCCGGAUUCGAUUUUAGACAUGAAUCAGCCCUGAUUCCGAAUCUGGAUUCAGGAGUGAAAAUUGUUUCGAAAUUAGCUCUGAGUCAGACCUGAAUUUCAGAGCUGGAUCAGCCCAAAAAAAAAUCAUGAUUCCGCGCUGAAAAUCGAGGCUAAAUAGGACCGCAUUCAUGACCCAAAA